Molecule: ribosomal RNA, 351 nt
Filed under: uncultured bacterium
Lineage: Bacteria
Description: bacterial SSU rRNA
Rfam family: Bacterial small subunit ribosomal RNA
Source: RNAcentral
GGGCCCGCACAAGCGGUGGAGUAUGUGGUUUAAUUCGAUGCAACGCGAAGAACCUUACCAGGGCUUGACAUCCUGCGAACCUCUGGGAAACAGGAGAGUGCCUUCGGGAACGCAGUGACAGGUGGUGCAUGGCUGUCGUCAGCUCGUGUCGUGAGAUGUUGGGUUAAGUCCCGCAACGAGCGCAACCCACGUCUUUAGUUGCCAGCAUUUAGUUGGGCACUCUAGAGAGACUGCCGGUGAUAAACCGGAGGAAGGUGUGGAUGACGUCAAGUCAUCAUGCCCCUUACAUCCUGGGCUACACACGUACUACAAUGCUACGGACAAAGGGCAGCAAGUUCGCGAGGACAAGCA